Molecule: transfer RNA, 85 nt
Filed under: Felis catus (domestic cat)
Lineage: Eukaryota; Metazoa; Chordata; Mammalia; Carnivora; Felidae
Rfam family: tRNA
About the family: Transfer RNA (tRNA) molecules are approximately 80 nucleotides in length. Their secondary structure includes four short double-helical elements and three loops (D, anti-codon, and T loops). Further hydrogen bonds mediate the characteristic L-shaped molecular structure. tRNAs have two regions of fundamental functional importance: the anti-codon, which is responsible for specific mRNA codon recognition, and the 3' end, to which the tRNAs corresponding amino acid is attached (by aminoacyl-tRNA synthetases). tRNAs cope with the degeneracy of the genetic code in two manners: having more than one tRNA (with a specific anti-codon) for a particular amino acid; and 'wobble' base-pairing, i.e. permitting non-standard base-pairing at the 3rd anti-codon position.
Source: Rfam by way of RNAcentral
GCCUGGGUGGCUCAGUCGGUUAAGCAUCUGACUUCGGCUCAGGUCAUGAUCUCACGGUCUGUGAGUUUGAGCCCCGCAUCAGGCU